This 30-nucleotide non-coding RNA is filed under the name Actinoplanes sp. SE50/110. The record is from RNAcentral. Lineage: Bacteria; Bacillati; Actinomycetota; Actinomycetes; Micromonosporales; Micromonosporaceae.
AACAUCGCGGUGAGCACCACGGCCGUGGCC